AGGAGAGGAGAGGAGAGGAGAGGAGAGGAGAGGAGAGGAGAGGAAAAAGCUGAUAAGGGCUCCCUCAGUGCUCAGGAGUCAGUCAGCUGUCCUCUGUCUUCCAGAGCUAAAAGAGUAAAACUCUGAAGUACCCUCCUAAAUUUAAUCUCAACAAUGAUUUUGUCAGUUUUCUUCCUCAAACUCUUGGUGGAUUUGCUGGUUUCCACCCUUCAAAUUCUGCCCAAAUGUUGGCAGAGAGGAGUACAACCCAAAAUAUUUCUGUCCUGGGUCUCUGCUUCUGUUGCUGCUCUGCAGAAAACUUCCCUAAGCUCUGGCAUUUUCUUUGCCAUGGAAAGUGUCUUCCUUAAUUUUCUCUUUUAAUAUUUCAAGAACAGAGCUUUGGAAUUCACACUGAUCAGCUGCUGCAUUGCUCUCUGUGAGCUCCCCUUGUCCCUGCUCUCCCGUUGCACACCAGUGCUGUCCCAGAUAGCAGCUCGGGCUGCUGCUCCGUUAGGUCAAGGUGAGGAGUUUCCUGGGAGCCGAGCAAAAAGAACGGCUGCCAGAGCUCAUGAUAACCCAGUGGAGCUUUGUUUCCAUGAAAAAUGGAAAAAAUAGGAUACAAGGUGCUCUAGAAAUGAAGCAGUAUGCUCUGGAAACCUAAGGCUAAAGUGAUUUGGACUGUUUUUCAGUUACCAUAAGCAGCCAACUGAGCAAACACCACCCUGGAUGCACACUAGGAGAGCAGGUCUUGCAUGCCAGGAGUUUAUGCUUGUCAUUAUCCUCAGUCAUUUCCUUACUACCAAAGGCUUAAAAAACCGCAAGAGGUUAUCAAGGACACACGGAAAGCUGGAGUGGUUCUGCUGGCUGUGUGGAUGUGUGUUGCAACCACUAAUUGCCUGGGAAGCCAUGGAACAGGCUUGGCAGCUGUGUGGGAGGCUGGUGGGAAGAAGAGGUGUGCGCUGAUUGGCAGUACCACAGUCUGGCUGCCUCCACAGUGUUCUCCAAAGCUCUUCUCGAUCUAGUCCCCAGUGCACAAAAAAUACCUUUUUGGAAAUUAAAAGAAGAAAAAUAACAUGAUAGCACAA
Molecule: non-coding RNA, 1064 nt
Organism: Taeniopygia guttata (zebra finch)
Lineage: Eukaryota; Metazoa; Chordata; Aves; Passeriformes; Estrildidae
Source: RefSeq, a predicted model, not a curated record